Arvicola amphibius (Eurasian water vole) is the source of this 3665-nucleotide RNA transcript. It is a transcript of the gene named sperm flagellar 1, with no coding region annotated. The transcript has 4 exons. Lineage: Eukaryota; Metazoa; Chordata; Mammalia; Rodentia; Cricetidae. The record is from RefSeq and is a predicted model, not a curated record.
AAUGUUAGAGAACUCUGGGGAGGGAGGGCCUUUCUUUAGUGACAUAUCUCUUGAUAGACCGCAGGAACCCUAACCUUAACCUCUGAUGGUAGUGAGAAGCUUUGGUCACUGGAUGGGGCGGUAGAGAGGGAGCCAGCGGUCUGUUAGGGCAGAUCAGGCAGUAUACCCCUGAAGAGUGAGCCCACCAAAGCUAGUUAAGGAAGGUCCUUGCAGGGGUUUAGCAGGAAUGGGGAAAGCUUUGGUUCUGCUAUGGGUCAGGUUAAAAUUGGAGGGGCAUGCAAGGAACCCUCGUUUAACUUUUAAGAGGGAGUUCUUCAGGCUGUUCAAGUGAUUGGCAUUUUCAAGUCUGUUAAAUCACCUUUGAGGCCAUGACAGGAGGAAGGUGAAGUUAUUAGAAAACAUGGCAUCCCCGUGAAUUGGUAGCUCACUGUGCAGGGCCACUCCCCCACUCCAGUCCAAAGGUGAGGGCAUGUCCUUUCAGAGCCCGGCCCCUCCCUUCAUGGCUCUCCCUUACUGGGGCUCACAAGUUCCAGUCAAGGAAAGACCUGAGCUGGGCAGGUAACUCUGAGUCCCAAACCGGUUUUCCCACCUUACUUAGGGCUGGCGUAUUACCUCUGGUAAUUUCCCAAUCCCUAACAUACCCCAGCCACCAAGUUCUCCCCACACUGGAAUGUAAGGGGGUGGGAGAUAUCCAAAUCAUCCUUUGUGCCUUGUUUGCCCUGGGUAUGGUUCCUUCCAAAAAGGCUGUCCAUAAAUGUUUGGGUCUUUUGUAUUUCUGACACUAGGAAAUUAUCUCCAAGUUUUGAAAAUUAGUUUUUGGUUUUUUUAAUGCAAAUUUUGCUUAUAUUUGUACUGGGGUAGGGAUGAACCCAGGGUCUAGAGCAACCUAGGCAAGAGCCUCACUGCUGAGCCACACUUCCCCCUGAGUGUUUGGAUUCCAUUUGGCAUCAGCCCUUCCUCUAAUUGGAACUUUGGAGGAAGAGACCAGAAAGCCUAGCCUAUCUAACGGGCCUGCUCUAAGUAGUAAGUAGGAGGGAGCAGGGGUGUUUCCUCUAGAUGCCAGACAGGUCCUUUAUCUCUAGUACCAAGACGAAUCACUUCACUCUGCCUCCUGCCAAUAAGAACCUCUUACUGGUCCCAGGAUUUAACACAAUCUGAUGCCAAUAGGGCCCUUUCUCUAUGCUAGGUGUCACACUCUCAGAUGCCCUUAUGAGGUAACAAAACCCACGAUAAACAGGCAGAAGAGGUUCAGUAAUGUGCCCAGAGCUACAUUAGGCUGCUGGAAGCAAACUCAGGCAGGCUCUGGAAGAUCCCUUCAGUACUUUGUAUGCCUUCGUUACAGAGGGUCCUGUGUUCCUACCCCUCCUGGUUGCAGAAAUCAGUUUCUAGCCCUUCAUAGAAUAUCCCUCCUGUGAAUGAUAAGGGAUGUGACGGUGUCUGUCAAAGCUCUUGCUUUCAUGUAUACAGCAGAUUCCUAAUCCCUAAUCCCCAUACAAAUACAGGCCGCUUAUACCUUUUUCCGUUUUGUAAAUUUCUUUCAAAAUAAAUUAUUGGGACAAGUAGAUGAAAACUUUCUUUUUUACAAAGAAGGAAAUAGGGUUAAGGGAUUAAAUGACCUUGCCCAAGAAAAUGGCCUUAAAUUGCUCUCCCUGGGAAUCUGGGUUACAUAUUAAAUGCCCAGUAGGAUACAUUGGGAUGAGGAAAUGGCAAUGACCCUAGGUCUACAGAGCUUUGGAGGGAGCUAGUGGGGAAGCAGUGGCUGUGCUUCCAAAGGGCCCAGGUUUGAUCUCCAGCACCCACAUAGUGGCUCACAGCCAUCUGUAACUCUAGUUCUAGGGGAUCCAACACCUGCCCUCUGCAGGCACCAGGAACACAUGUGGUACACAAAUAUACAUACAGCUAAAACACCCAUACACAUACAAAAAUAAAAUACUUAUUUAAAAAUAGACAACUUGUCACACAGCAUCAGUAGGUAUCAGACUAACGGAGUGCCCGCCUCCCUAAACGCUAACAAGCAUGGAGAUGCUGCUUCCUUUAGGACUGACAGAUGGCACAGAAGGGGAAUGGUUUCUGGGGACAUAGCUGGUUUUGGCAAAGCCCAGGUUGGGCAGUGAUUGAUCAGCAAGUGAUGUGGGCAGACGGGUGAUGCCUUCUUGGAGAGAAAGGAAGAUAAGUACAGAUAAUUGCCCUUUCAAAGCUGGGACCCAGGGGAAAGAUAUGGAAAAACUACAACUCCCAGAAGUCUCUGUUUCCAGGCAAGUAGCGACGGUUGCUAUGGUUUCAGAAAACAAUAUGGCUGCUCCCAGAUGGGAUUUGAGUCUGUGCCGAGUUGGAAAGUAAACGUAGAUCUGAACGCUCGCAGUGGCGAGAGGAAGCACUUGAAGGGUCCUGGGGCUGGCGUUGGGCUCUGUGGGGAACACUGAGGCCUUGUUCAGAAGCCAAUGGCAAGCACCGUGGACGAGGAGUCUCUGCACCAGCUGUACCUGUGGGUAGACAACAUCCCUCUGUCCCGACCCAAGAGAAACCUCUCCAGGGACUUCAGUGACGGAGUCCUGGUUGCAGAGCUUAUCAAGUUUUACUUCCCCAAGAUGGUGGAGAUGCACAAUUAUGUCCCUGCUAACUCUCUCCAGCAGAAGCUCAGCAACUGGGGUCACCUGAACAGAAAGGUGCUGAACAAGCUGAACUUCUCUGUCCCCGACGAUGUGAUGCGGAAGAUUGCGCAGUGUUCUCCAGGUGUAGUGGAGCUGGUGCUCAUUCCACUAAGGCAGCGCUUGGAGGAGCGGCAGAGGCGCCAGAAACUGGGUGCUGGCUCCUUACAGGUGCUGCUGCAUGAGCCUGCUGAUGGGGGCGCAAGGGGUGCUCCCCAGACAGUGGACUAGGCAAUGGCGAUGCCUACCUAGGCGAUAAAUAGGAAGACGGGUAUCUAGCUAAGAGAACCUGGCCCACAGGAUUGUGGAAGGAAAAUGGGGCUUUUUGGACGUAGACACCCAGGUUCACAGGAGACCGCAUCUGUUCUUUCAGGAGCCGGCUUCUCAGGAUGUCAGUGGCUACAUGGAUAUGGGUAAGGUGGCUUUCCUUUACCUCAGGAAAGCUUUCCCACACCGAUCUUAGGAUCCGGGGGAGACAGGAGAGUGGUACUCCAACAAGGUCACUUCUUCACUUGCUUUGUCUUAGGUCUGUCCCAGAAGACUCUAGGAGACGGUGCCCCAGCCCUGGGAGGGGAGCAGCUCAGGUAAACUUGAGAGUUCUGACCUCACCGGGCUUGAUACCUUCACCACAAAGACUAGUGUGGCAGUGCCUUGGCCAUUGGGGAGGUGGUGAGAAGGCGACAAAGGAAGGCCUGGUAGCAAGUACUAGAAAGGAAUGGCGGGGUCUGAGGUCCUGGCCUCUGCUAAGCUGCUUUCCACUGCAGAGGGGGCCGGCCACCGGCUCCUAGACCCUCUGGAUAUAACCAGGCGCUGCAGGGCGAUCCCAGCUUCGUCCUUCAGAUCGCUGAAAAAGAGCAGGAGCUGUUGGCCUCUCAAGAGACAGUGCAGGUCCUGCAGAUGAAGGUGAAGCGUCUGGAACACCUGCUCCAACUCAAGAACGUGCGCAUCGAUGACCUCUCCCGGAGGCUCCAGCAGGCCGAGCGCAAGCAGCGGUGAGCAGUGCCCGGGCUGCGCGGG